CAUAUGCUCAUUCUGGAACUAAUCCCAGUUCUGGAUUGUGCCCCGACAAUGCUGUUCAUUGACGGGCUUAGGCUUUCUCCCUCCUGAGCCAAUCACUAUGGUAGAAAGGAUGGAAUGACUGCUCUCUUCCAACAACAUCACUGUGACAUCAUAAGAGAGAUUUGAAAAGCAUCUUGGAGGACUUUCUAUGUCAAGCUCCCCAGAUGCACACCUUGAGACUAGGAUUUGCUGACUAUCUCUUAGGGUACAUCUUGUGAGAUGUGGUUUGGGAAAUGGUUCUGUGACCAAGAGACUGUUACAGGCUUUUAAAGUGACAUAAUCAGACCAAGAUUUAAGGUAUGGAGUGAAAAAGGAUGGACCAGAAGCAGAGGGAUCAGAGAUGUUGAGAUCACCUUGCCUUCAGCAAAGAUGGAGCAUCAUGCGUGAUUCUCACAGAGCUCAAUAGACGUCGGGCAAGUGGAAGGCCAUCAGACCUCUCAGGUCACAGCAUCCAGAGCAUCCCGUUGGACACAUAAAGACUAAGUUACUUAACUGUGGAGAUUCCUCUCUCUUUCUCUCUCUCCUUCUUUCUCCAAACCCAGAUGUUUGGCAUCUCACCAAUAUCGUCCAAGACCUUCUGGAUUGGGAACAAAAUAAAUGUAGAGAAAGAGGAAGCAGUUUUAGUGAAAGCACCACAGGGAGCAAACCAAUAAAAAAGCAGGAAACUCAGCACAAGCCCGAUUUAUGUCGCUGCAUUUCCCUAGCACUCAGCCUAUUCCUCCAAACCCCAACACACACACACUCGUGUGCACACACACGUGCACUCACACAUGCACAUGUGCACACACACACCACAAGCGCCUGCUCCUAUUAGCUUUCUUUCCUGCUCUCACUUUUCAUUUUAAAGUCAAACAUUGGGUAAAAUUCUCUUUUUAUUUCACUCUCCUUCCCAUCUCUCUGAAAGAGCUUCAGAAGGGGAGUUUUGCAUGAGCGUCCUGAGGGCUCGUGGAUCUGAGACUGUACAGCUCCCUCACCUCCACAUUUCCCUGAUGGUCCUAUCUCUUUUUAAUAGUCAAUAAAACAUUGCUAUAGCCUCUAUUUUAGUUUCUGUUUCUAGACAACAAGAAAGAGAGAAAAGGUAGAAAGGAAGGAAGGGAGGGAGGGAGGAAGGAAAGAAGGGAGGAAGGAAGAAAGGAAGGAAGGGAAAGGAAGGAAGGAAAAGGAAGGAAGGAAAAGAAAGAAAGAAAGAAAAAGAAAGGAAGAAAGAAAGAGACCCAGUCUAUAAACAAAAACAUCAUGGCUUUCCCUUUUUCAACAGCUGGGGACAAUCAUAGCACUUUUGAGUUUUGUUUUGUUUUGUUUUGUUUUGUUUCUGUCAGGAGGCAGAGCCCCAUAGAAGUGAUGGUUCUCUUGGUGGGAACACAGAAGAAGCAAGUUGAGAAUGAGC
This 1426-nucleotide long non-coding RNA is filed under the name Equus caballus (horse). Its description in RNAcentral is "lncRNA (ENSECAG00000056321.1)". Lineage: Eukaryota; Metazoa; Chordata; Mammalia; Perissodactyla; Equidae. The record is from RNAcentral.